AAAAAAGCGAUGAUGGAGAAAAGUAGCUUAUAAAAGCUCACCAGGGAUAAAAUGCCGUGACUGGAAGCAUUUUAGAGUAUUUUUUAAGUGAAGUUCACCUCCUGAGCUGGCAUCGGGAACAUUUGCAGACACUGCAAAUCGAAAGAUGCCCCCGGCACAGCCGUUAUCUGAAUGAAGCGAACAGCACCUUCUUUGAAAGGCGGCUGUUAAUAAGGGUGGUACCGCGAAUCCAAAACCUCGUCCCUUAA
Molecule: non-coding RNA, 248 nt
Filed under: Bacillus infantis
Lineage: Bacteria; Bacillati; Bacillota; Bacilli; Caryophanales; Bacillaceae
Description: T-box sequence
Rfam family: T-box leader
About the family: Uncharged tRNA acts as the effector for transcription antitermination of genes in the T-box leader family. T-boxes are found upstream of many aminoacyl-tRNA synthetase genes and some amino acid biosynthetic genes usually in Gram-positive bacteria. The anticodon of a specific tRNA base pairs to a specifier sequence within the T-box motif, and the NCCA acceptor tail of the tRNA base pairs to a conserved bulge in the T-box antiterminator hairpin.
Source: RNAcentral